AAAACCAAUGCCUUCGGGCUCCUUGGUGAUUCAUGAUAACUUAACGAAUCGCAUGGCCUUGCGCCGGCGAUGGUUCAUUCAAAUUUCUGCCCUAUCAACUUUCGAUGGUAGGAUAGUGGCCUACCAUGGUUUCAACGGGUAACGGGGAAUUAGGGUUCGAUUCCGGAGAGGGAACCUGAGAAACGGCUACCACAUCCAAGGAAGGCAGCAGGCGCGCAAAUUACCCAAUCCCGACACGGGGAGGUAGUGACAAUAAAUACUGAUACAGGGCUCUUUUGGGUCUUGUAAUUGGAAUGAGUACAAUUUAAAUCCCUUAACGAGGAACAAUUGGAGGGCAAGUCUGGUGCCAGCAGCCGCGGUAAUUCCAGCUCCAAUAGCGUAUAUUAAGUUGUUGUGGUUAAAAAGCUCGUAGUUGAACCUUGGGCCUGGCUGGCCGGUCCCCCUCACCGGGUGCACUGAUCCAGCCGGGCCUUUCCCUCUGUGGAACCUCAUGGUCUUCACUGACUGUGUUGGGGAACCAGGACUUUUAC
Molecule: ribosomal RNA, 530 nt
Filed under: uncultured Rhizina
Lineage: Eukaryota; Fungi; Ascomycota; Pezizomycetes; Pezizales; Rhizinaceae
Description: SSU rRNA
Rfam family: Eukaryotic small subunit ribosomal RNA
Source: RNAcentral